UAUCCAUGUGUGGAUAUCACUUCUAGUGGGUAACUCGUAUGAUCUUAUGUCCAAAGAUCCAACCUCACCUUAAAGUUACAAAAUGAAGUUUGAGUGAGGUUGUAACAUUUGGCCCGACAAAUUGCUUGUGUUUAAUCUUUAAACUUCAACCUUUAAUGCAUUCCAUUUCUGAGAACAUCAAUGUUUGUGCAAAUGAUAACAAUUUAUCCAAAUUAUGGGCAUAUAGAUCUGGAUUUCAGCUGUUAAUUUCUCAUACAUAUGUUAAGUUUUAUGUGAGCAAAAUACAUUUAAUAUUUUCAUAUAAAUAUCUAUUUUAAAUUACAUUUUAUUUUGGUUGUGAACUCAGCUUAACAGGAGCAUUCUUUCCCUGCAUUGUAAAGGAAACAAACCGGCCAUAUCUGCUGUGGUUAAACAUGGAAAUAAUAAAGUUGAUUUGAAAAAUGACGUUUUGCCGAAUAACAAAUGCUUGUUUUAACAAUUCAGAUUAUGUAAAAGAAAAUAAACUACACAAAUUAAAUCUGUUUUCCCUAAUUCCAAGAUUGCAUUGUAAGUCAAGGACAGGCAGGUGAGGACACAUGUAUCUGCAGACAUGUAAAACAUUGUGUAUAGAACAAGGAAUUCAACAUAACAAAAAACAUGGCACACUAGCCUUGUGCUCCUAAAAUAGACUGUCAUUGUAAGUGGCAGUGCCUUUUAUUCUCUGCUGGGUGGAUAACUUCCUCAUAUUAUGGAAGGGGCUGAACACAGAUCUAUUUCCCCAACACAAACAGUGGCUGCCAGCAGAAUCCUCGCUUUGGGAAAACACACCAUCACACUGCUUUCCAGCAGAUGUUGGAUCCUGGCUGCAGGGAUUCACUCCCAUUCAGACAAAAAGAGCAUCAGUGAGGUCCAACACUGAUGUUGGGUGAUCACGUCUGGCUCGCCGCAACAAUUUCGAGACAGCACUUUUAUCUAUUCAUCCAUAAAGGACUAUACUUCAAAAAUGACCACCUUAUUUCUUGUCACUCCUGUGCCUAAGGUAUUAUAUUUAUAACACCCGUUCUCAAGUCUGGUUUACAGUAAAUACUAAUUUUGGAAAGACAGAUUUUAGAUAUGUUGUCACAUUUGUUUAGAAUAAUUUACAGAGAAGACUGAAACUGAUAUUGAUAUGGCAAUUCCAAAAAAUUGGUUAGAGAGUUUAUUGAUUUUAGGUAUGACAUUCAUCUCCUUUUAAUACCUACGCCAAGGAUAUUUCAGAAACCAUUUAUUAAUAAUUUGUCACGCUGUUGUCGAUAUGUUUGUAUAUUUAAAUCUUGAUAUUGCAUUACUAUAUUUUUAUGUCAUUACAAUCAUUAUUAUUUUUUUGAAUUUUUUUUUUAUGUUUGCUCAGGUCUCUCUUGUAUAUGAUAUCUCGAUCUGAAUGUGACUUCAUGAUUAAAUAAUGUGAAAAAAAAUACUAAUAAUAAAUAAAUAAAAAACUUCUGGCAUCCUGGUGGUCUUGGAGUUUUAGGCUGACCAUGUAAUCACAUAGACACAGACUUAAAGUGCUCAGAAAUCAUAAACGCAUCAUAAGGAACAACUUCUCCCCUCUCUAAUAAAGACACUACCUCAAC
Molecule: long non-coding RNA, 1592 nt
Organism: Sebastes umbrosus (honeycomb rockfish)
Lineage: Eukaryota; Metazoa; Chordata; Actinopteri; Perciformes; Sebastidae
Exons: 2
Source: RefSeq, a predicted model, not a curated record